This is a long non-coding RNA of Centruroides sculpturatus (bark scorpion), 471 nucleotides long. RefSeq lists it as uncharacterized. NCBI's taxonomy places the organism in Eukaryota, Metazoa, Arthropoda, Arachnida, Scorpiones, Buthidae. The record is from RefSeq and is a predicted model, not a curated record. The transcript has 2 exons.
GGCGAUUUUCCACGAUUCGAGGCAGUCACCCAUAAUAAUUAGGACCUGCCAUAAUAGUCGGCAGUCACCGAUAGUAAAUAAACAAGCGGUCGACGAUCAUAGUGGACUACCAUAGAGAGGGUCAUAGAAGGUAGACGAUCAUAUCGAAGGAACUACCAGAUAGAAAUGUGGAAGCCAUAGGAAGAGCAUAGUCCUGUUCCGGUUCCUCAUCACCAGUCUCCAAACCCACCUACAUCUCCAUCUACCAAUAUCGCCAAUCAAUCUCCUCAUACAAAGUAUAUUAAUCAAGCUCCGAUUGUGCGACAGUGCGACGAAUAGAGCAACCAUUGUUAAAUGAGAUUGAAGAAGACUGGGAAAUAAAGACACGCAAUUUUACUCUUCUAAGAAGUAAAAAUAAAGAAUGAAGAAAUUUUGAAAUAAAGUGAGCUGAAAUUAUACUGAAAGAAUCUCCAUAAACAAGGUAAAAAGGUA